AGGGCACCACCAGGAGUGGAGCCUGCGGCUUAAUUUGACUCAACACGGGAAAACUCACCCGGCCCGGACACUGGAAGGAUUGACAGAUUGAGAGCUCUUUCUUGAUUCAGUGGGUGGUGGUGCAUGGCCGUUCUUAGUUGGUGGAGUGAUUUGUCUGGUUAAUUCCGAUAACGAACGAGACUCUAGCCUAUUAAAUAGAUCGUUGGCUUACAAACGCCGGCGAGACUUCUUAGAGGGACAGGCGGCGAUUCAGCCGCACGAAACAGAGCAAUAACAGGUCUGUGAUGCCCUUAGAUGUCCGGGGCCGUACGCGCGCUACACUGAAGUGAUCAGCGUGCAUUUUGAAACCUACUCUGUCAAGAGUGGGGAACCCAAUGAACCUUCUUCGUGAUUGGGAUAGGGGAUUGUAAUUAUUCCCCUUGAACGAGGAAUUCCCAGUAAGCGCGAAUCGUAAGUUUGCGCUGAUUACGUCCCUGCCCUUUGUACACACCGCCCGUCGCUACUACCGAUUGAAUGUUU
This 519-nucleotide ribosomal RNA is filed under the name uncultured eukaryote. RNAcentral describes it as "SSU rRNA". It matches the Rfam family "Eukaryotic small subunit ribosomal RNA", at positions 1161 to 1698 of the family's 1831-position model. The record is from RNAcentral.